UACGAAGGGGGCUAGCGUUGCUCGGAAUUACUGGGCGUAAAGCGUGCGCAGGCGGUUGUGCAAGACCGAUGUGAAAUCCCCGGGCUUAACCUGGGAAUUGCAUUUGUGACUGCACGGCUAGAGUGUGUCAGAGGGGGGUAGAAUUCCACGUGUAGCAGUGAAAUGCGUAGAUAUGUGGAGGAAUACCGAUGGCGAAGGCAGCCCCCUGGGAUAACACUGACGCUCAUGCACGAAAGCGUGGGGAGCAAACAGG
RNAcentral lists this ribosomal RNA (253 nucleotides) under uncultured bacterium. RNAcentral describes it as "partial 16S ribosomal RNA". It matches the Rfam family "Bacterial small subunit ribosomal RNA", at positions 524 to 776 of the family's 1533-position model. The record is from RNAcentral.